Small nuclear RNA from Gracilinanus agilis (Agile Gracile Mouse Opossum), 104 nucleotides. NCBI's taxonomy places the organism in Eukaryota, Metazoa, Chordata, Mammalia, Didelphimorphia, Didelphidae. The record is from RefSeq and is a predicted model, not a curated record.
GUGCUCACUUCCGCAAUACAUAUGCUAAAACUGGAAUACUACAGGGAAGAUAAGCACAGAUCCUGUGCAAGGAAGAUACAUUCCAUAUUUAAAAAAAAAUUUUU